This 507-nucleotide ribosomal RNA is filed under the name uncultured Glomeraceae. RNAcentral describes it as "SSU rRNA". It matches the Rfam family "Eukaryotic small subunit ribosomal RNA", at positions 569 to 1082 of the family's 1831-position model. The record is from RNAcentral. Lineage: Eukaryota; Fungi; Glomeromycota; Glomeromycetes; Glomerales; Glomeraceae.
AGCAGCCGCGGUAAUUCCAGCUCCAAUAGCGUAUAUUAAAGUUGUUGCAGUUAAAAAGCUCGUAGUUGAAUUUCGGGAUCAAUAUGUUGGUCGUGCCUUGGUACGUACUGGCAUUAUUGGUUUCUACCUUCUGAAGAACCUCGAUGUCAUUAAUUUGGUGUCUUGGGGAAUCAGGACUGUUACUUUGAAAAAUUAAAGUGUUUAAAGCAGGCUCGCGCUUGAAUACAUUAGCAUGGAAUAAUGAAAUAGGACGUUUGAUUCUAUUUUGUUGGUUUCUAGGAUCGACGUAAUGAUUAAUAGGGAUAGUUGGGGGCAUUAGUAUUCAAUUGUCAGAGGUGAAAUUCUUGGAUUUAUUGAAGACUAACUACUGCGAAAGCAUUUGCCAAGGAUGUUUUCAUUAAUCAAGAACGAAAGUUAGGGGAUCGAAGACGAUCAGAUACCGUCGUAGUCUUAACCAUAAACUAUGCCGACUAGGGAUCGGAUGAUGUUAAUUUUUUAAUGUACUCA